Molecule: ribosomal RNA, 429 nt
Filed under: Bacteroidota bacterium
Lineage: Bacteria; Pseudomonadati; Bacteroidota
Description: Bacteroidetes bacterium partial 16S ribosomal RNA
Rfam family: Bacterial small subunit ribosomal RNA
Source: RNAcentral
UAGGGAAUCUUCCGCAAUGGACGCAAGUCUGACGGAGCAACGCCGCGUGCGUGAAGAAGGAUUUCGGUUCGUAAAACUCUGUUGUUAGAGAAGAACAGCGCAUAGAGUAACUGUUAUGCGUGUGACGGUAUCUAACCAGAAAGCCACGGCUAACUACGUGCCAGCAGCCGCGGUAAUACGUAGGUGGCAAGCGUUGUCCGGAUUUAUUGGGCGUAAAGCGAGCGCAGGCGGUCAAUUAAGUCUGAUGUGAAAGCCCCCGGCUCAACCGGGGAGGGUCAUUGGAAACUGGUUGACUUGAGUGCAGAAGAGGAGGGUGGAAUUCCAUGUGUAGCGGUGAAAUGCGUAGAUAUAUGGAGGAACACCAGUGGCGAAGGCGACUCUCUGGUCUGUAACUGACGCUGAGGUUCGAAAGCGUGGGUAGCAAACAGG